Molecule: long non-coding RNA, 984 nt
Organism: Rhineura floridana
Lineage: Eukaryota; Metazoa; Chordata; Lepidosauria; Squamata; Rhineuridae
Exons: 2
Source: RefSeq, a predicted model, not a curated record
UGAGUUUUGAUGGAGACAUCAUCAUUUUGGGGCAGUGCCUCACGACCUGGGGAAGUGGUCAGAGAGCUGCAUAAGAAGGUCCAACAUCUAGUAGUUCUUCACUCACUCACAGGAUCCAUUCUCCUCCCCAGCUGCUUUCACCAUUGAACAAGCUUCACCCUCCCUCCACAUGGCAAAGAUGUCGUGCUGUUCCCAGUGUGGCUGCUCCCUCUGCUGUUGCAAGCAGUGCUGCUGCUCCCCCUGCUCCUGCAGCCCAUCAUCCUGCAACAGCUGCUGUGGUGGGCAAUCUCGCUGCUGCGGUUCCUGCUGCAGCGAUUCCAAAUGCUGCUAUCCUAAGCAAUGCAAGUGCUGAAGGAAUCCAAGGGAAGGCUUGAAUGCAAAGAGGGGACGUGCCGCCUGGCCAUUACGGAACGUCGCCAGGGGCACCAGCACCACUUUGGCGACCUGCACUCGCCGAUUUCUUGCACUCACAUCACCAAAUUGAUUCACUCACAUCUUGCACCAUGUUUUGUCUACUCACUUGUGAGCGGGAUGCUCUCUCUGCCUGUUCCCUUUAUUUGAGUAACUCAGUUCCCGACUCCCAUGCAGCACCAUACACACCAUUUGACCACACCCUUGUUGAAAGAAAAUUAUGGCAUCCAUUUUAAAUAGCAUCUGUCUCUGUCACUGUUGACUUUUAGAAGUAAUUUGGAAAGAGUCCUAUUUACACCGGCAUCUGAUGGCUGAAGGAGAUUGUUCCUGGCAACCCAGCUAUCACUGAAUGGAGAAAAUGUUUUCAUCUGUAUCUGCUUCUUAGAAUGUUUUUCUUUUUCUUUUUAAAUUGCUUUGUUGAUGCACCCUGGGCUUCUUCGGGAAGACAGGUGGGGUGGUAUUAUUAUUAUUAUUAUUAUUAUUAUUAUUAUUAUUAUUAUUAUUAUUAUUAUUAUUAUGUCAAAAUCUAACCAUAUGUAUGUGAAAUAAUAACAUUGCAAACAAUGCUGGACA